Molecule: ribosomal RNA, 1663 nt
Filed under: Diplomystes mesembrinus
Lineage: Eukaryota; Metazoa; Chordata; Actinopteri; Siluriformes; Diplomystidae
Description: partial 16S ribosomal RNA
Rfam family: Bacterial large subunit ribosomal RNA
Source: RNAcentral
GCUAAACAGCUAGCUUAAACACCUAAAUCUACCCAACAACAUCAAUAUAUUUUAUAAACCCCCCCCCCCAGAAUUUAACUAAAACAUUCUACCGCCUUAGUACGGGCGACGGAAAAGGCACCCAUAAAGCAAUAUGAAAGUACCGCAAGGGAACGCUGAAAGAGAAAUGAAACAACCCAUUAAAGCACAACAAAGCAGAGAUCAACCCUCGUACCUUUUGCAUCAUGAUUUAGCAAGCCCAUCUGAGCAAAGCGUACUUUAGUUCAAGACCCCGAAACUAAGUGAGCUACCCCGAGACAGCCUAGUUAUAGGGCCAACCCGUCUCUGUGGCAAAAGAGUGGGAAGAUCUCCGGGUAGAGGUGACAGACCUACCGAACUUAGUUAUAGCUGGUUGCCUGAGAAAUGGAUAAAAGUUCAGCCUCGCACUCCUCAACUCACACAAAGUACACCUAACACAUGAGCCAGAGAAACAUGCAAGAGUUAGUCAAAGGGGGUACAGCCCCUUUGAUCAAGGAUACAACCUCUCCAGGAGGUUAAUGAUCAUACUAAACAAGACCACCGCUCUAGUGGGCCUAAAAGCAGCCACCUAAACAGAAAGCGUUAAAGCUCGGGCGGACCAAAAUCUAUUAUCUAGAUAUCAUAUCUAAAACCCCUAACCAUAUCAGGCCCUUCCAUGCCAACAUGGAAGAGAUUCUGCUAAAAUGAGUAAUAAGAAAGAUACCCCUUUCUCCUAGCCUAAGUGUACGUUAGAUCGGACCAACCACUAACAAUUAACGAACCCAACCCAAGAGGGCAAUGCAAUAAAAUAAAACAACAAGAAAAUCUCGCAUACCCCCAUCGUUAACCCCACACUGGAAGGCCUACCUAAAGGAAAGACUAAAAGAAAAGGAAGGAACUCGGCAAACACAAGCCUCGCCUGUUUACCAAAAACAUCGCCUCCCGCAAAAAUCAAUGUAUAGGAGGUCUUGCCUGCCCAGUGACUACAAGUUAAACGGCCGCGGUAUUUUGACCGUGCAAAGGUAGCGCAAUCACUUGUCUUUUAAAUGAAGACCUGUAUGAAUGGUGGAACGAGGGCUUAACUGUCUCCCUUUUCAAGUCAAUGAAAUUGAUCUGCCCGUGCAGAAGCGGGCAUAAACCUACAAGACGAGAAGACCCUUUGGAGCUUAAGAUAUCAAAGUCAACUAUGUCAAGAGCCCUAAAUCUAGGACUAAACUAAAUAGCAACUGACCCCUAUCUUCGGUUGGGGCGACCGCGGGAGAAAACAAAGCUCCCACGCGGACUGGGUUAUUACCUAAAACUAAGAGAGACAUCUCUAAGUCGCAGAACAUCUGACCAUAAAGAUCCGGCCAAUGCGCCGAUCAACGGACCAAGUUACCCUAGGGAUAACAGCGCAAUCCCCUUCCAGAGUCCAUAUCGACAAGGGGGUUUACGACCUCGAUGUUGGAUCAGGACAUCCUAAUGGUGCAGCCGCUAUUAAGGGUUCGUUUGUUCAACGAUUAAAGUCCUACGUGAUCUGAGUUCAGACCGGAGUAAUCCAGGUCAGUUUCUAUCUGUAAUGCUAUUCUUCCCAGUACGAAAGGACCGGAAAAAUGGGGCCCAUGUUUUAUAUACGCCCCACCCUAAUUUAAUGAAACCAACUAAAUUAGACAAAAGGAGAGCACAC